This 215-nucleotide long non-coding RNA is filed under the name Elaeis guineensis (African oil palm). RNAcentral's name for it is "long non-coding RNA (EGUI_LNC029615)". Lineage: Eukaryota; Viridiplantae; Streptophyta; Magnoliopsida; Arecales; Arecaceae. The record is from RNAcentral.
AUCUGAGGAUGUCUGCAGGUUCUAUUGAAGCAGCACAUGUAUCCGAUCUCUACAGAUAUCUACACAGGACUGAUACAGAUCGAAAUGUCUGAGACUAUUGAGGUACUAGCUCUCUUGCAGAUCUCAUUCUUUUAGAUUUAGAUCUGAUCUUCUUCUUUGACUAUCGUAGAAGAAGAUUUGCAGGAACUGCUAUCGUGUAGCACUAGAGGAAUGCC